This 729-nucleotide ribosomal RNA is filed under the name uncultured bacterium. RNAcentral describes it as "SSU rRNA". It matches the Rfam family "Bacterial small subunit ribosomal RNA", at positions 505 to 1241 of the family's 1533-position model. The record is from RNAcentral.
GUGCCAGCAGCCGCGGUAAUACGGAGGGUCCGAGCGUUAUCCGGAAUCAUUGGGUUUAAAGGGUCCGCAGGCGGUCAAUUAAGUCAGAGGUGAAAUCCCAUAGCUCAACUAUGGAACUGCCUUUGAUACUGGUUGACUUGAGUCAUAUGGAAGUAGAUAGAAUGUGUAGUGUAGCGGUGAAAUGCAUAGAUAUUACACAGAAUACCGAUUGCGAAGGCAGUCUACUACGUAUGUACUGACGCUGAGGGACGAAAGCGUGGGGAGCGAACAGGAUUAGAUACCCUGGUAGUCCACGCCGUAAACGAUGGAUACUAGUUGUUGGGCAUUAGCUCAGUGACUAAGCGAAAGUGAUAAGUAUCCCACCUGGGGAGUACGGUCGCAAGACUGAAACUCAAAGGAAUUGACGGGGGCCCGCACAAGCGGUGGAGCAUGUGGUUUAAUUCGAUGAUACGCGAGGAACCUUACCAGGGCUUAAAUGUAGUCUGACAGCUUUAGAGAUAGAGUUUUCUUCGGACAGAUUACAAGGUGCUGCAUGGUUGUCGUCAGCUCGUGCCGUGAGGUGUCAGGUUAAGUCCUAUAACGAGCGCAACCCCUGUCAUUAGUUGCCAGCAUGUAAAGAUGGGGACUCUAAUGAGACUGCCUACGCAAGUAGUGAGGAAGGUGGGGAUGACGUCAAAUCAUCACGGCCCUUACGUCCUGGGCCACACACGUGCUACAAUGGUAUGGACA